UGAGGAACAUUGGUUAAUGGGCGGAAGCCUGAACCAGCCAAGUCGCGUGAGGGAAGACGGUCCUAUGGAUUGUAAACCUCUUUUGCAGGGGAGCAAGACCCGUUACGUGUAACAGGUUGGAGAGUACCCUGAGAAAAAGCAUCGGCUAACUCCGUGCCAGCAGCCGCGGUAAUACGGAGGAUGCGAGCGUUAUCCGGAUUUAUUGGGUUUAAAGGGUGCGUAGGCGGGCUGGUAAGUCAGCGGUAAAAAUGCGGUGCUCAACGCCGUAGUGCCGUUGAAACUGCCGGUCUUGAGUGAGCGAGAAGUAUGCGGAAUGCGUGGUGUAGCGGUGAAAUGCAUAGAUAUCACGCAGAACUCCGAUUGCGAAGGCAGCAUACCGGCGCCCAACUGACGCUGAAGCACGAAAGCGUGGGUAUCGAACAGGGAUUAGAUACC
This 435-nucleotide ribosomal RNA is filed under the name uncultured bacterium. Its description in RNAcentral is "bacterial SSU rRNA". It matches the Rfam family "Bacterial small subunit ribosomal RNA", at positions 355 to 786 of the family's 1533-position model. The record is from RNAcentral.